CCUACGGGUGGCAGCAGUGGGGAAUAUUGGACAAUGGGCGCAAGCCUGAUCCAGCAAUACCGCGUGUGUGAAGAAGGCCUGAGGGUUGUAAAGCACUUUUAAUCGGGAGGAAUAGCGGUCGGUUAAUACCCGGUCGUCUGACAUUACCGAUAGAAAAAGCACCGGCUAACUCCGUGCCAGCAGCCGCGGUAAUACGGAGGGUGCUUGCGUUGCGCGGAAUUAGCGGGGGUGGAUGGUUAAGAGGCAUGUGAAAGCCCCGGGCUUAACCUGGGAACGGCAUUUGAAACUGAUCGACUGGAGUUGGGUAGAGGGGAGUGGAAUUUCAGGUGUAGCGGUGAAAUGCGUAGAUAUCUGAAGGAACACCAGUGGCGAAGGCGGCUCCCUGGACCCAAACUGACGCUGAGGCACGAAAGCGUGGGUAGCAAACAGGAUUAGAUACCCCUGUAGUC
This 449-nucleotide ribosomal RNA is filed under the name uncultured bacterium. RNAcentral's name for it is "partial 16S ribosomal RNA". It matches the Rfam family "Bacterial small subunit ribosomal RNA", at positions 338 to 795 of the family's 1533-position model. The record is from RNAcentral.